AGUGAACGCUGGCGGUAGGCCUAACACAUGCCAGUCGAACGGCAGCACAGUAAGAGCUUGCUCUUACGGUUGGCGAGUGGCGGACGGGUGAGGAAUACAUCGGAAUCUACUUUUUCGUGGGGGAUAACGUAGGGAAACUUACGCUAAUACCGCAUACGACCUACGGGUGAAAGCAGGGGAUCUUCGGACCUUGCGCGAUUGAAUGAGCCGAUGUCGGAUUAGCUAGUUGGCGGGGUAAAGGCCCACCAAGGCGACGAUCCGUAGCUGGUCUGAGAGGAUGAUCAGCCACACUGGAACUGAGACACGGUCCAGACUCCUACGGGAGGCAGCAGUGGGGAAUAUUGGACAAUGGGCGCAAGCCUGAUCCAGCAAUACCGCGUGGGUGAAGAAGGCCUUCGGGUUGUAAAGCCCUUUUGUUGGGAAAGAAAAGCAGCAGGUUAAUACCCCGCUGUUCUGACGGUACCCAAAGAAUAAGCACCGGCUAACUUCGUG
Molecule: ribosomal RNA, 492 nt
Filed under: uncultured bacterium
Lineage: Bacteria
Description: partial 16S ribosomal RNA
Rfam family: Bacterial small subunit ribosomal RNA
Source: RNAcentral